Callorhinchus milii (elephant shark) is the source of this 732-nucleotide long non-coding RNA. RefSeq lists it as uncharacterized. Lineage: Eukaryota; Metazoa; Chordata; Chondrichthyes; Chimaeriformes; Callorhinchidae. The record is from RefSeq and is a predicted model, not a curated record. The transcript is spliced from 3 exons.
AGUAAGCACACAGUACCAGAAAGAAGGAAAACAAAUUGCACAAGUGAAGCACAAUGAACAUCAAAGUCACCGUCAAUGUCCUUGCUCUUGUUUUACUUUGUGUAACUUCCACACAAGCUUUUCCCAUGAUGUACCUACGCUGUAAGUGCAUCAAUAUCCGUUCUGGAUUCGUCAAACCAUUGAGAUUAUUCUAAGUAGUCCCGAAUGUGCAAGUAAACAAAUCAUUCUUACCCUUCAAAAUCAGCGGGUCUGCGUCAAACCUGAGGAAUGGUCGGUGAAGAUUUUGUUCCAAAAAUUUAAGCCUGGGUAAGUUUCCAUUUCCAUGCAUUUGGAAAGAAUGAACCUUCAGACUAACAAAAGGCUAUAGCUGCACAGGACAAAUAUCACCAUGCACAACAAUUAGCAAACCAUUAUGUCGAACAUUGUAUUUGGAUUUCUUUUCUCAAUAUAUUUCAAAAUCUAUUUGUGACCAAAACUAUUGCACUACCUUGUACUUUAAUCCUCUCCUAAAUUAAAAGAGCUUUCCUCAUAUUGUCUACUACUGUUUCCGAACAACUAAGAAUAUUGAGGUGUAAAAGAACACUUGGAUGCAACUGUUGGAUUAGAACAAACUCAUAUUUAUGUUACUGUUUUGAAGGAAUUAGACAGAAAAUGUAUUGUCAAUUCUGAAGACCUAUAACUUUCUAAAUUAAUGUUUUCUUUUUCCACAGUUUGACCAAGAUUAAACAUCCC